AGAGUUUGAUCAUGGCUCAGGAUGAACGCUGGCGGCGUGCCUAAUACAUGCAAGUCGAGCGAACAGACGAGGAGCUUGCUCCUUUGACGUUAGCGGCGGACGGGUGAGUAACACGUGGGUAACCUACCUAUAAGACUGGGAUAACUUCGGGAAACCGGAGCUAAUACCGGAUAAUAUUUCGAACUGCAUGGUUCGAUAGUGAAAGAUGGCUUUGCUAUCACUUAUAGAUGGACCUGCGCCGUAUUAGCUAGUUGGUAAGGUAACGGCUUACCAAGGCAACGAUACGUAGCCGACCUGAGAGGGUGAUCGGCCACACUGGAACUGAGACACGGUCCAGACUCCUACGGGAGGCAGCAGUAGGGAAUCUUCCGCAAUGGGCGAAAGCCUGACGGAGCAACGCCGCGUGAGUGAUGAAGGUCUUCGGAUCGUAAAACUCUGUUAUUAGGGAAGAACAAACGUGUAAGUAACUGUGCACGUCUUGACGGUACCUAAUCAGAAAGCCACGGCUAACUACGUG
Molecule: ribosomal RNA, 517 nt
Filed under: uncultured bacterium
Lineage: Bacteria
Description: bacterial SSU rRNA
Rfam family: Bacterial small subunit ribosomal RNA
Source: RNAcentral